This 253-nucleotide ribosomal RNA is filed under the name uncultured bacterium. RNAcentral's name for it is "partial 16S ribosomal RNA". It matches the Rfam family "Bacterial small subunit ribosomal RNA", at positions 524 to 776 of the family's 1533-position model. The record is from RNAcentral.
GACAGAGGGUGCAAACGUUGUUCGGAAUUACUGGGCGUAGAGCGCGUGUAGGCGGCCCUGCAAGUCGGAUGUGAAAUCCCACGGCUCAACCGUGGAAGUGCAUUCGAAACUGCAGGGCUAGAGUCCUGGAGAGGAAGGUGGAAUGCUUGGUGUAGAGGUGAAAUUCGUAGAUAUCAAGCGGAACACCGGUGGCGAAGGCGGCCUUCUGGACAGUGACUGACGCUGAGACGCGAAAGCGUGGGGAGCAAACAGG